CAGCAGCCACGGUAAUACAGAGGGUGCGAGCGUUAAUCGGAUUUACUGGGCGUAAAGCGUGCGUAGGCGGCUUCUUAAGUCGGAUGUGAAAUCCCUGAGCUUAACUUAGGAAUUGCAUUCGAUACUGGGAAGCUAGAGUAUGGGAGAGGAUGGUAGAAUUCCAGGUGUAGCGGUGAAAUGCGUAGAGAUCUGGAGGAAUACCGAUGGCGAAGGCAGCCAUCUGGCCUAAUACUGACGCUGAGGUACGAAAGCAUGGGGAGCAAACAGGAUUAGAGACCCCGGUAGUCCCUGUCUCUUAUAC
RNAcentral lists this ribosomal RNA (301 nucleotides) under uncultured bacterium. RNAcentral's name for it is "partial 16S ribosomal RNA". It matches the Rfam family "Bacterial small subunit ribosomal RNA", at positions 509 to 807 of the family's 1533-position model. The record is from RNAcentral.